This 152-nucleotide small RNA is filed under the name human gut metagenome. Its description in RNAcentral is "Clostridiales-1 RNA". It matches the Rfam family "Clostridiales-1 RNA". The record is from RNAcentral.
GAUAUCAGGGUCAAAAGGUUAUGCGUUUCAUGCUUGCAUGAAAAAGCAUGACUUUGGGACCCGUAAAACAUGAGAAAGCAGCCCGAACAGGGCGGAUUUCGAAUGUUUUCAGGAUUGCGGGAGCAUGAAAUGCGGAGCAAUCCGUAGGUAUC